AGUCGAGCGGAUGAAGGGAGCUUGCUCCUGGAUUUAGCGGCGGACGGGUGAGUAAUGCCUAGGAAUCUGCCUGGUAGUGGGGGAUAACGUUCCGAAAGGAACGCUAAUACCGCGUACGUCCUACGGGAGAAAGCAGGGGACCUUCGGGCCUUGCGCUAUCAGAUGAGCCUAGGUCGGAUUAGCUAGUUGGUGAGGUAAUGGCUCACCAAGGCGACGAUCCGUAACUGGUCUGAGAGGAUGAUCAGUCACACUGGAACUGAGACACGGUCCAGACUCCUACGGGAGGCAGCAGUGGGGAAUAUUGGACAAUGGGCGAAAGCCUGAUCCAGCCAUGCCGCGUGUGUGAAGAAGGUCUUCGGAUUGUAAAGCACUUUAAGUUGGGAGGAAGGGUUGUACGUUAAUACCGUGCAAUUUUGACGUUACCGACAGAAUAAGCACCGGCUAACUUCGUGCCAGCAGCCGCGGUAAUACGAAGGGUGCAAGCGUUAAUCGGAAUUACUGGGCGUAAAGCGCGCGUAGGUGGUUCAGUAAGUUGGAAGUGAAAUCCCCGGGCUCAACCUGGGAACUGCUUUCAAAACUGCUGAGCUAGAGUACGGUAGAGGGUAGUGGAAUUUCCUGUGUAGCG
This 625-nucleotide ribosomal RNA is filed under the name bacterium F-9. RNAcentral's name for it is "bacterial SSU rRNA". It matches the Rfam family "Bacterial small subunit ribosomal RNA", at positions 60 to 680 of the family's 1533-position model. The record is from RNAcentral.